RNAcentral lists this ribosomal RNA (382 nucleotides) under uncultured organism. Its description in RNAcentral is "bacterial SSU rRNA". It matches the Rfam family "Bacterial small subunit ribosomal RNA", at positions 367 to 762 of the family's 1533-position model. The record is from RNAcentral.
CGCAAUGGGCGAAAGCCUGACGGAGCGACGCCGCGUGAAGGAUGAAGCGUUUCGGCGCGUAAACUUCUUUUAUAGGGGAGAAAGUUUAUUGAUAGUACCCUACGAAUAAGAGGCUCCAAACUCUGUGCCAGCAGGAGCGGUAAUACAGAGGCCUCAAGCGUUAUCCGGAAUUAUUGGGCGUAAAGGGUGUGUAGGUGGUCUAGUUAGUCUUCUGUUAAAUUCUUCGGCUUAACCGGGGGCAUGCAGGGGAAACGGCUAGACUUGAGGGUGCGAGAGGUGCAUGGAACUCAUGGAGUAGGGGUGAAAUCCGUUGAUAUCAUGGGGAACACCAAAAGCGAAGGCAGUGCACUGGCGUACUUCUGACACUCAAACACGAAAGCGU